GAAGCUUCCAGGGCAGUGUGCUGUCCUGACACAUGAUCAACGUUUCAUCUACUAUCUGAUCACAAAGAAAAAAGCCAGCCAGAAACCCACGUAUGUCAACCUAAGACAGAGUCUGGAAGACAUGAAAUCUCACUGCUUAGAAAAUGGUGUCAAUAGGAUAUCAAUACCCCGAAUUGGCUGUGGCCUGGACCAGCUGCUGUGGUCAAAGGUGUCAAAGAUCCUGGAACAGAUCUUUAAAGAGACAAAUAUCUCCAUCACAGUGUACAGCCUGCCCUGUGUUGGGUCAAAGCUUCAAAUGCAUGCCAUGUAGUACAU
This is a long non-coding RNA of Xiphophorus hellerii (green swordtail), 315 nucleotides long. RefSeq lists it as uncharacterized. Lineage: Eukaryota; Metazoa; Chordata; Actinopteri; Cyprinodontiformes; Poeciliidae. The record is from RefSeq and is a predicted model, not a curated record. The transcript is spliced from 3 exons.